RNAcentral lists this transfer RNA (64 nucleotides) under Pseudunio marocanus. Its description in RNAcentral is "tRNA-Lys". Lineage: Eukaryota; Metazoa; Mollusca; Bivalvia; Unionida; Margaritiferidae. The record is from RNAcentral.
ACCCAGAUGGCCGAGCCUAAGCAUUGGACUUUUAAUCCGACUACAGUUAAAUCACUUCUAGGUA